Long non-coding RNA from Anguilla anguilla (European eel), 1260 nucleotides. RefSeq lists it as uncharacterized. The transcript is spliced from 2 exons. NCBI's taxonomy places the organism in Eukaryota, Metazoa, Chordata, Actinopteri, Anguilliformes, Anguillidae. The record is from RefSeq and is a predicted model, not a curated record.
UGAACACUUAUUGUUGGAUGAGAGCACGAACAGCGUGUUUUCUGAUUGGCUGUUAGGCCUACGUGAGGUUGGGCCCCAGUUAUCGUCCGUGCAAUGCACACAAUCACGUUGCUAUUGGCUGCCACUCUAUGGUAAAAUCACUGCGAAUAUGAGCUAGCAUAUAUUAUUUCUGCAGUUUUAAGAAACAACGGAAAUAACAAGAAACGGAAGAAGACAAACAGCGGAUCAGCCAGCAAUGUUUUUCAUGAUUUGAAAAGGAGAAUUUUGUAGGUCUAUUAUGCCAUAAGAACAGUUCUUAGCGGGGAGAGAAGCAGUCGCCGUGGAGGACAGCCUUCAAGACCUAUGCCUCGUGGAAAGACCAGGUGCAACUGAUUGGCUCAACUAUUUAAGAGUGUCAGUAGGGAGAGGGGGGAAGGAAGGUGAGCCACUAACAUGUGUACUGCUGGUGUUUUUAAAAUAAAUUAUUAGUCCUUUUUACAAGUCUUGCUUUACUCAGUUGUUUAAGUCUUUUUUUACAUUUGGGGUCAGAAGUGGGAUUUAGGCCCUAUCCCUGUGGGGUGACCUGCUUUUAAAAGAUUUUUAUACUGAGCUGUUAUACCGAGAAGCAGGGCGCUGCAUUUCACAUCGAGGUGUUCCGAGGGAGGAUCCAGGUGGGGCUGAAGAUGGACCAGGGAGACUCCAGACAGAGCAAUGAUUGGGUGGGGAGCUGUGGCUGCCUCUGUCGGAACAGGUAAUGGUCUGGAGUCCUGUGGGACAGUAACUCUGAAAACCAGUAUGAGGAGCCCAUAGCCCAAUGGGAGGUGGUGUCCUGGCCCUGCAGAAUGAUUGAUGCCAGAGGGAGGAGCUACCAGGUGUCCCUAAUCAGAGGGCUAUCCUCGACAAUCUGGGAGGAGCUACCCAGUUUUUUUUUAUUUUUUAUUUUUUAUUUUAUUUUUUUUUUUUUCUUCCUCCUCCUUAUGGACAAUUCUUGGUGGAAUGCAAUGUUUUAAAUUGACUGCUUGGGAAGCACCUGCCCCUCUUGCAAACCAGUUUGCAAGACUGGAGAGGGGGGAGGAAAUGUGAAGGAGUGGCCCUUCACUAGUUUAAUUGUUUAAUUGAUUCAGUUUAAUUACUAAUUAGUUGUUUAAUGUAACUUGAUUGUAACCAGGUGCAACUGAUUAGCUCAACUAUUUGAGUCAGUAGGAACAGGGGGAGAGAAGGUGAGCCAUGUCUAUCAUUUGUACUGCUGGUGUUUAAAAUAAAUGCAUCGAAGUCUUGUUA